GAUCCUGGCUCAGGAUGAACGCUAGCUACAGGCUUAACACAUGCAAGUCGAGGGCAGCAUGAACUUAGCUUGCUAAGUUGAUGGCGACCGGCGCACGGGUGAGUAACACGUAUCCGAACCUGCCGAUGACUCGGGGAUAGCCUUUCGAAAGAAAGAUUAAUACCCGAUGGCAUAGGUUCUUCCGCAUGGUAGAACUAUUAAAGAACUUCGGUCAUCGAUGGGAUGCGUUCCAUUAGGUUGUUGGCGGGGUAACGGCCCACCAAGCCUUCGAUGGAUAGGGGUUCUGAGAGGAAGGUCCCCCACAUUGGAACUGAGACACGGUCCAAACUCCUACGGGAGGCAGCAGUGAGGAAUAUUGGUCAAUGGACGAGAGUCUGAACCAGCCAAGUAGCGUGAAGGAUGACUGCCCUAUGGGUUGUAAACUUCUUUAUACGGGAAUAAAGUGAGGCACGUGUGCCUUUUGUAUGUACCGUAUGAAUAAGGAUCGGCUAACUCCGUG
RNAcentral lists this ribosomal RNA (499 nucleotides) under uncultured bacterium. RNAcentral's name for it is "bacterial SSU rRNA". It matches the Rfam family "Bacterial small subunit ribosomal RNA", at positions 15 to 507 of the family's 1533-position model. The record is from RNAcentral.